This 16-nucleotide small RNA is filed under the name Arabidopsis thaliana (thale cress). RNAcentral's name for it is "ATSL238670". The record is from RNAcentral. Lineage: Eukaryota; Viridiplantae; Streptophyta; Magnoliopsida; Brassicales; Brassicaceae.
AAAAACAAACAAAAAA